UAUAAUAUUACCACAAAUAUUGAAUUUAAUAAUUGGAAUACUUAUAUAUAUUUCAAAAUAUUUAUAUUGACUAUUAAUUUUGGAAUUUUCGGGUUACGUGUUCGGGUUCGGUUAAUAACACUUCGGAUUCGGAUAUUUUUUGUACCACUCUACAAGACCCGUUCGGGUAUUUUUACGUUUCGGAUCGGAUAACGGGUCGGAUUUUUCGGUUCGGGUUCGAUUCGGAUUUCGGGUUCCGGAUUUUAUGCCCAGGCCUACUUGACUCAAUUAAGACAACAAUAACAACUACCAUGUGAGAACACAAGAGGUUUCAGACCAAGACCAGUCAUGUUUUGUCAAACCAAGAAAAGUGGAAGCACCAAUGCUGAUUCUGAACCCUCCAUUGUCUCUCACAAACUCAGACAGGUACCGUCUCAGAAAAUAUAUAGAUAUCCAUAGUAGAAGAUUAGAACAUCUGUAGUCGCAUAGGAGAAGCUCGGGAUCUCAUAUGCAGGGAUCAUCAUCAUCUGCCAUGAUGAACAAACAAUCAUAGAGUGACUCGGUUUGGUUUCUCAUGUUUCUUGUUCUGUUUUUUUUCGAAAAGAGACUUUGGUGGAUAUGAUGUGUGAGUUGUGAUGGUUGUUGUAACAUGUUCCUUGUUCUAUCUUUGAUCCUGAUCCCUUGGUUUAUGUAUUAAGUAGAUGUAUGUAUACGUUUUUUGAUGAGUUUUAUACACUUUUUU
Brassica napus (rape) is the source of this 721-nucleotide long non-coding RNA. RefSeq lists it as uncharacterized. The transcript has 2 exons. The record is from RefSeq and is a predicted model, not a curated record. NCBI's taxonomy places the organism in Eukaryota, Viridiplantae, Streptophyta, Magnoliopsida, Brassicales, Brassicaceae.